Molecule: ribosomal RNA, 2738 nt
Filed under: Triticum aestivum (bread wheat)
Lineage: Eukaryota; Viridiplantae; Streptophyta; Magnoliopsida; Poales; Poaceae
Description: partial small subunit ribosomal RNA
Source: RNAcentral
CGCAUGGUCUGGUACCGCUCCGCGUCCCCGAUCCCGGCGGCCCCGCCCGCAACUCCCUUAUUUUCGGAAUAAGGAAAACAGAUUCGCAGCAAGCUUGCGCCGCCGAUCCUCCCUUAUCCUCCUGCGCCCCGAGUCCACCCCGCCUCCGGUCGCCACCCGCGCUCAGCCGCCGCCGGCCUCCUCUGCCGGAUGCCAUGGCCAUGGACCAAAGCUCGAAUUGGAUGUUGGUGAUAGCUUCCCUCGCGAAUGCCUGGAGGUGGGAUGAGCAAAUCCCGAAUCUCCUUACUGCCUGGACUGGAGAGUUGCAUCCAAUCAGGCCUCCUCCUCUCCACUAAGUGCCUCUGAACACAUGAGUUCUUGCACGGUGGAGGCGUGGAGCAUAGGAGCAUACAACUGAUUCUUUGGAACACCUGAUUCCGGAAAACCAACAGAAGAUUUACCGGCGAACCCUCACUUUUAAGAGACAAACCUAACUGUAAUGUUGGACAUGCUAUGAGCACUCUAGGUCCAACAACCUGCAUUGUAUCUGAAUAGAAGAAAAAAAUUAUUAAGAUAUCUACAAGUUUUGGGGAAGUCCUCCAAAAGAACAGAGAUCUCAUUCAAACAACAUUCUCCAUUGAGUCAACUUCGUCGCCAUGAUUUUUUUAAAACAGAGGAUGGCAUUUGUCAGUAAGGUUUUUAUUGCAAAAUCUGGUGUGCGAGAGGCUAGGGAUCUGUGAUCUAGGAUGUUGAAGAAACAGAUGGCAACUAAGGUCUUCAAUCCCUAUCAAAAAGUGGGCUCCAAUCAAAAGAAGAAUCAGUAGUUCAAGAUGGAAUUUAUUCUUCUUCAAAGUAGAUGACAUUUAUUCAUUUUUUGAGCAUUUAUGGUUUUGUGUGUAUAUUGAAUUAUUUUAUGAGUUGUGAUAUUUAUUCUUAAACAAUAAGAAAUUCAAUGCAAAGGUCCACACUAAUGUGUGAGCAGGCGUCAUAUUAUGUGACGCUUUUAGUUUAUCGGCAGUAGCAGUUGCAACAACAUUAUGUACGCAAAAUCUUUUGGUCUUGCGAUUUUACGUUUGGUUUAGUGACAUUGAUAUUUUAGUGGGAGGCAGCUUUUCAAUCAUGAUAGGUUUCAAGCUUCUUUAACAACCAAUCCAAGCACCUAAUGGAGGAAAUAACACAUAUUAUUGUCUGUAUGCAACAACAUGACCACAGUUAUGUGUCACCUUCGAGAAUACAAAAUAUGAGCAAGACAACAACAUAAUGUCUCCAUUUACCUUUUUGGGAACAUUUUUUUGUGUGUUCGUGUGAAUCUCAUUUAGCAAGGAGAACGUUUAAGACGUGCGUUGCACGUGCAAGCUUACUAGGUGAAUUCAAGCUAAAAUAUGAAUUGUACUGUUCUAACUAUAUUUUUUUUCAGAUCCAUUUUCCAGGAAAAUGGGCAUGAUAAGAUCAUUAUCUAAAAGCCAUGGGAUGAGCCAUGAAUGAGACCAUUCCCUUUUGCUGCUUUAUUGUCAUUGUUGAUGAGUCCAAGCUCGUCCCGCUUCAGCAUCGUGUACAUGUUGGGACUCAUCGGCAAUGUGUUCGGCAAAUUGCUAGGCUUCCACACCAAGACGCUAUCAAAUCUCUCCAUUUCUUGAAAAGAAGACUACUGUUGUUGUCAGCUCUUUUCUGUCAUUGAUCCAAAGACCAGGUCAUGAGUUUAAAACAACAUGGUGGGAAAUCUGAUUAUCUUGGCAGCACCAAAUGAAAAUCUCUGGUAGCAGUGAGGCUGAAAAAUGCAUGUUAUGGAGUAACUUGAAGGCAUCCAAAAUCUGCGUAUUCGCUAUUGAUGAAGCGCAUUGCAUAUUGGAAUGGGGUCAUGAUUUCAGGUUAUUUGUUCUGCUAUUGUGUGAAUUAUUUCAGCUAAAGAGCUGACAAUUUACUUUCGUUUCAAUUUUUGAUAUGUCCUAUGCAUUUAGUUUGGAAAUUUUAUGUGUCUUGGUGGUAAAUGCAAAAGAUAUCAGUUCAUAUCAGCUAUCAAUUAUCGCUAGAUUGCUCUCACCCUUUAAUUCUGUGGUCAAAUUUGGCGACCUGUCGAGGAUGGCGAGUGCAGCGUGAUAGCUCUGCCUUUUACACUAAUCUUUUACCUAAAUUUUAUUUGAUAAACGGAUCGUUGCAUCAGACAGGUCUGCAGUACCAAACAGCUUGAAGCUUGUUAGUUGAUGAUACUAUGCAUUUAUGUUACAGUGCUUAGUGCGCAGGCAUUGAUCAUAGUAGUACGAACACAUGCAAUCUUUAAUCAGUGUUACAUUUUGAGAAGGACUAUUCUUCUUCCAUGUUAAUUCUCGGCUUGUAGGAACAUAAUGGAUUGAUUUUUAUAUUAGAUUCGAUAGUUGUGGUUUUCUUUUCUAAUCGUGUACCAGAUGCAACAUUUGUCUUGCCUUGUAGUUUUGAACGGGGGUAGUAUUUGUUUUCCAUUACUUUUUUAUGGUUAGAGAAAUGUUAUUAUUGUCGAAAAACACAAACAUUGACAUUGCACUAAGUGCAUGCUUCAUUAUUUGUAAUCUCUACUCCUAAUGGAGUAGUUGGUAGGAUUGCGUCCAGGUUUAUUUUCGUCCGUUUUAUUUUUGUCUGAUUUAGUUUUAUCUCACCUUCUAUCAUCAUAUCUCACGUCGAUUUUUUCACCCUCCCAAUAAAAACUUUCUAAACAUUUGCAAACUUUCCUAACCAGGCACGUCACAAAUGAGCAGGUACUGACAUCACAUUACAAAUAAUAAAAC